GGAUUAUUCCACCAACUCCAUGGGCCUUUUCUACAAUUAUGUUUUUUUCAGUGUGUCGCUGUGUGCUUUGUUGAUCAGAUUCCAAAUCUCGAAAUCAGCAUUGGGAAACAUGUCAAUCGUCCCGUUAGAAAUAUGAUUUGCCCAAAGGGUAAGCUUCAUCUUGAAGGCAUCCACUUUGUCCCUCUGUUCAAGUCGAUUGUGCCCCCGUCCCUUGCGUUGACACUUUGAGCGAAU
Molecule: long non-coding RNA, 234 nt
Organism: Oncorhynchus tshawytscha (Chinook salmon)
Lineage: Eukaryota; Metazoa; Chordata; Actinopteri; Salmoniformes; Salmonidae
Exons: 2
Source: RefSeq, a predicted model, not a curated record